This 561-nucleotide ribosomal RNA is filed under the name uncultured Bacteroidota bacterium. RNAcentral's name for it is "SSU rRNA". It matches the Rfam family "Bacterial small subunit ribosomal RNA", at positions 242 to 800 of the family's 1533-position model. Lineage: Bacteria; Pseudomonadati; Bacteroidota. The record is from RNAcentral.
CAGCUAGUUGGUAAGGUAACGGCUUACCAAGGCUACGAUGUUUAGGGGAUCUGAGAGGAUGACCCCCCACACUGGUACUGAGACACGGACCAGACUCCUACGGGAGGCAGCAGUAAGGAAUAUUGGUCAAUGGGCGCAAGCCUGAACCAGCCAUGCCGCGUGCAGGAAGACGGCCCUACGGGUUGUAAACUGCUUUUAUACUGGAAUAAACCUUUCUACGAGUAGAGAGCUGAAUGUACAGUAAGAAUAAGGAUCGGCUAACUCCGUGCCAGCAGCCGCGGUAAUACGGAGGAUCCAAGCGUUAUCCGGAUUUAUUGGGUUUAAAGGGUGCGUAGGCGGCCUAUUAAGUCAGGGGUGAAAGACGGUAGCUUAACUAUCGCAGUGCCUUUGAUACUGAUGGGCUUGAAUGUACUUGAGGUAGGCGGAAUGUGACAAGUAGCGGUGAAAUGCAUAGAUAUGUCACAGAACACCAAUUGCGAAGGCAGCUUACUAAAGUAUGAUUGACGCUGAGGCACGAAAGCGUGGGGAUCAAACAGGAUUAGAUACCCUGGUAGUCCACGC